Molecule: ribosomal RNA, 770 nt
Filed under: Dermanyssus sp. LB18
Lineage: Eukaryota; Metazoa; Arthropoda; Arachnida; Mesostigmata; Dermanyssidae
Description: eukaryotic LSU rRNA
Rfam family: Eukaryotic large subunit ribosomal RNA
Source: RNAcentral
UGAAAUCAAGUGUGACGACCCGCUGAACUUAAGCAUAUCAAUAAGCGGAGGAAAAGAAAUCAAAUGAGAUUUCCCUAGUAGCUGCGAGUGAACUGGAAUCAAGCCUAUUGCCAAUUCUUAUGUUUUGUACAAUAAGAGAUGAGGUGUAAAGGUAUCUCGCGUUCAGCAGUGGCACGGCCUAAUUAUUAUUGAGUCAGUGCUCAAAGAAGGUGAAAAGCCUGUAUGGUUGCGCCGAUCUGUUGAACCGUGAUACUGGAGAGUCUAGUUGUUUGAGAGUACAACUUAAAGUUGGUGGUAAAUUUCAUCAAAGGCUAAAUAUACGAAGGGACUAAUAGCGAACAAGUACCAUGAGGGAAAGUUGAAAAGAACUCUGACGAGAGAGUUCAACAGUACGUGAAACCACAUUGAGUAAAACAGAUAACUGUGUUGUUAUGUGGUGUGCCUAUCAACAGUCACUUCGGCGUUGCCACGUUUUGGGUGUAGGCUGUCUAUUCAGCUGAAUGCCUAAAACUAGCAUAGUCGGAGGUGCUGUGCACUAGUGCGCACUCGAUCAUUGAGAAGCUAUGCCGCUGCUGCAUCGGUAUGUGUCAGUCCGCACUUAGUGUGUAGUCACAUGCUGGGUAAUUGCUAGCCUUGGCGUAGUUUAGCUGUGUGACAGCUGUGGGUUGCGUUUGUCGAUUGUAGCUGCUGUAUCUGCGAACUGGUUUAUUCCUUUUUGCGGUGAGUAUGUUGCAGGACGCAAGCAGCCCGCCAUCAAUGGUAACAUUAGU